This 337-nucleotide unclassified non-coding RNA is filed under the name soil metagenome. Its description in RNAcentral is "partial contains 5.8S ribosomal RNA, internal transcribed spacer 2, and large subunit ribosomal RNA". The stretch from base 1 to 120 matches the Rfam family "5.8S ribosomal RNA", at positions 35 to 154 of the family's 154-position model. The record is from RNAcentral.
GAUGAAGAACGCAGCGAAAUGCGAUAAGUAGUGUGAAUUGCAGAAUUCAGUGAAUCAUCGAAUCUUUGAACGCACAUUGCGCCCCAUGGUAUUCCGUGGGGCAUGCCUGUUCGAGCGUCAUUUACCCCCUCAAGCUCCGCUUGGUGUUGGGCGUCUGUCCCGCUUCGCGCGCGGACUCGCCCCAAAGGUAUUGGCAGCGGUCGUGCCAGCUUCUCGCGCAGCACAUUGCGCUUCUCGAGGCACCGGUGGGCCCGAGUCCAUCAAGCUCACCCCCCCAGUUUGACCUCGGAUCAGGUAGGGAUACCCGCUGAACUUAAGCAUAUCAAUAAGCGGAGGA